Non-coding RNA from Felis catus (domestic cat), 85 nucleotides. Lineage: Eukaryota; Metazoa; Chordata; Mammalia; Carnivora; Felidae. The record is from Rfam.
GCCCGGGUGGCUCAGUCGGUUGAGCAUCCGACUUCGGCUCUGGUCGUGAUCUCACAGUUCGUGGGUUCGAGCCCUACAUCGGGCU